AAGUCGUAACAAGGUUUCCUCUAUAGAAUACCUAUUGAAGCCUUGAACCUAAAGUCUAUUUUAUAGGCAACAUCUUUACUGUGCUUGGAGACCUUGAAGGUAACAAGCAGCUGCUAAACCAGCUCACAGAUCAAACAAAGGUGGUUCUCUAGCCCUCACGCUGUUGAAUUAAAAUAUGACCGGCUCACUGUUGGAAAAACAGUAAUUAUUGUGUUCCGUAGGUGAACCUGCGGAAGGAUCAUUACUGAAAAAACCCGAGGAUGUUGCUGGCGGUGCGCAAGCGUUCGCACGUGCACUCCU
This 300-nucleotide unclassified non-coding RNA is filed under the name fungal sp. Its description in RNAcentral is "partial contains small subunit ribosomal RNA and internal transcribed spacer 1". Lineage: Eukaryota; Fungi. The record is from RNAcentral.